Molecule: ribosomal RNA, 670 nt
Filed under: uncultured Bacteroidota bacterium
Lineage: Bacteria; Pseudomonadati; Bacteroidota
Description: SSU rRNA
Rfam family: Bacterial small subunit ribosomal RNA
Source: RNAcentral
GUAGUUGGCGGAGUAACAGCCCACCAAGCCAACGAUCAGUAACUGGUGUGAGAGCACGACCAGUCACACGGGCACUGAGACACGGGCCCGACUCCUACGGGAGGCAGCAGUAAGGAAUAUUGGUCAAUGGACGCAAGUCUGAACCAGCCAUGCCGCGUGGAGGAUGAAGGCCCUCUGGGUUGUAAACUUCUUUUAUUUGGGAAGAAACCACUCUUUUCUAAGGGUGUUGACGGUACCAUUUGAAUAAGCACCGGCUAACUCCGUGCCAGCAGCCGCGGUAAUACGGAGGGUGCAAGCGUUAUCCGGAUUCACUGGGUUUAAAGGGUGCGUAGGUGGGCAGGUAAGUCAGUGGUGAAAUCUCUGGGCUUAACCCAGAAACUGCCGUUGAUACUAUCUGUCUUGAAUGUAGUGGAGGUGAGCGGAAUAUGUCAUGUAGCGGUGAAAUGCUUAGAUAUGACAUAGAACACCCAUUGCGAAGGCAGCUCGCUACACUAUUAUUGACACUGAGGCACGAAAGCGUGGGGAUCAAACAGGAUUAGAUACCCUGGUAGUCCACGCCCUAAACGAUGAUUACUCGACAUCGGCGAUACACAGUCGGUGUCUGAGCGAAAGCAUUAAGUAAUCCACCUGGGAAGUACGACCGCAAGGUUGAAACUCAAAGGAAUGGACG